UUUAGCUCAUGAGUGACACAUCGCUGACAUCAGCAUGUCUGUCACUAUUUUAUGCUGCCCUCAGUUAGGUCAGAAUAAAGUUGAUGACAGGUUCACUUUAAAAGAAGACCUGUCACCUCUCCUAAUAUUUAGUAUAACGUUUUAGUAUAUAAUUGUAUUCCACAUGAAAUGAGAAUUCUGGAACAUCUUUCUUAUCACUCUGUGUUAUGCCAUUCCUCUAUUAACCCUGCUAGAUGUGUAUGAAUAAAGGUACAAUUGGGUGUUACCAUUUGGGGGGUGUCCAUGCACAGUCUGGCACUAUCUACUCAGGGCUGGCAACUGUGCAGAGACACACUCCCAACACCCAGUUCUACCUUUAGUCAUAAACUUCUAGCAGGAAUAAUAGGGGAUAAUCACAUCAUACAGUUAUAAGAAAAGGUCGUCCAAAAUUGGAAUGCAAGUAGUUAUUUAAACAGAAGUGUCAGGAGAGCUGACAUUCUAGUGUUUAGAUUCUGGUGCAAUGAUGUACCUUUUAAAGGAUUCUCUGUGAAUGAUUUAAAAUGUCCGCCAGCAACCUAUCCUAGAAUAUGAGCAGGACUGGUUGCCUCCACUUGCAGAGCUGCCUAGGGGGCUGAGGUGCACACUGUGCUCUGGCACUUGCAUAUACUACAUAGUAGUGAGUGUUCCUGUCAGGCUGCUCAGCCAUGAUAACAUAUCAUAGGCAGGAUAACAUCAUACUAUGUAUUGUAGAGCAGUGGAGUGAGGCCCUGCCCCCUCACCCCCCUAGGUGUGGCAACCAGUACGUCUCACAUUCUAGGUCAGGUUACUGGUGGCCAUUUUAAACCAUUCCCUGAGAACCCCUUUAACAACUUUGGGUCCGACUUGACCUCAGAAGAAAAU
This is a long non-coding RNA of Bufo bufo (common toad), 879 nucleotides long. RefSeq lists it as uncharacterized. The transcript is spliced from 3 exons. NCBI's taxonomy places the organism in Eukaryota, Metazoa, Chordata, Amphibia, Anura, Bufonidae. The record is from RefSeq and is a predicted model, not a curated record.